ACUUUCAUAGGAUAAUAGUUUUCCACUAAUCUUAGGCAUUAGUUUAUUCUUGGUGCAAAUCCAAGUGAAAGAA
This 73-nucleotide transfer RNA is filed under the name Aeluroscalabotes felinus. RNAcentral describes it as "tRNA-Leu". Lineage: Eukaryota; Metazoa; Chordata; Lepidosauria; Squamata; Eublepharidae. The record is from RNAcentral.